GAUCCUGGCUCAGGACGAACGCUGGCGGCGUGCUUAACACAUGCAAGUCGAACGAGUGAAGUUAUGACGGAGGCUUCGGCCGACAGAAUAAUGGAAUAGUGGCGGACGGUGAGUAACGCGUGAGUAACCUGCCUUUCAGAGAGGAAUAACAUCUGGAACGAAUGGUAAUACCACAUAACAUUACGUUCUCGCAUGGGGAUGUAAUCAAAGNUUUAUCGCUGAGAGAUGGACUCGG
This 235-nucleotide ribosomal RNA is filed under the name uncultured bacterium. RNAcentral describes it as "partial 16S ribosomal RNA". It matches the Rfam family "Bacterial small subunit ribosomal RNA", at positions 15 to 234 of the family's 1533-position model. The record is from RNAcentral.